UGCGUAGGCGGCUCUAUAAGUAUGGUGUGAAAUCUCCCGGCUUAACUGGGAGGGUGCGCUAUAGACUGUGGGGCUAGAGUGUGGGAGAGGAAAGUGGAAUUCCUGGUGUAGCGGUGAAAUGCGUAGAUAUCAGGAGGAACACCGGUGGUGUAGACGGCUUUCUGGACCAUAACUGACGCUGAGGCACGAAAGCGUGGGUAGCAAACAGGAUUAGAUACCCUGGUAGUCCACGCCCUAAACGAUGCAUAUUUGGUGUGGGCCAUUCAUUUGGUCCGUGCCGGAGCUAACGCGUUAAAUAUGCCGCCUGGGGAGUACAGUCGCAAGGCUGAA
This 330-nucleotide ribosomal RNA is filed under the name uncultured bacterium. RNAcentral describes it as "bacterial SSU rRNA". It matches the Rfam family "Bacterial small subunit ribosomal RNA", at positions 568 to 898 of the family's 1533-position model. The record is from RNAcentral.